GACGAACGCUGGCGGCAUGCCUAAUACAUGCAAGUCGAGCGAACAGAUGAAGUGCUUGCACUUCUGACGUUAGCGGCGAACGGGUGAGUAACACGUAAGGAAUCUACCUAUAAGCGGGGGACAACAUUCGGAAACGGGUGCUAAUACCGCAUAAUAUCUUCUUCCGCAUGGAAGAAGAUUGAAAGACGGCUCUGCUGUCACUUAUAGAUGACCUUGCGGUGCAUUAGUUAGUUGGUGGGGUAAUGGCCUACCAAGACGAUGAUGCAUAGCCGACCGGAGAGGGUGAUCGGCCACAUUGGGACUGAGACCCGGCCCAAACUCCUACGGGAGGCAGCAGUAGGGAAUCUUCCGCAAUGGGCGAAAGCCUGACGGAGCAAUGCCGCGUGAGUGAAGAAGGCCUUCGGGUCGUAAAACUCUGUUAUAAGAGAAGAACAAAUUGUAGAGUAACUGCUACAGUCUUGACGGUAUCUUAUCAGAAAGCCACGGCUAACUACGUGCCAGCAGCCGCCGUAA
This 513-nucleotide ribosomal RNA is filed under the name uncultured bacterium. RNAcentral describes it as "partial 16S ribosomal RNA". It matches the Rfam family "Bacterial small subunit ribosomal RNA", at positions 28 to 523 of the family's 1533-position model. The record is from RNAcentral.